Non-coding RNA from Gavia stellata (red-throated loon), 157 nucleotides. NCBI's taxonomy places the organism in Eukaryota, Metazoa, Chordata, Aves, Gaviiformes, Gaviidae. The record is from Rfam.
CAGGGCUGGGGAAGGGCUGCUGGGUGGUUCCAGCCAGCCUCACCCGCGCCCGAGAUCAGCUCCCAGGCGGGCUCCCUGCAGGGGUUCGGCCUGUGCAGUACCAGGUGUGAGCAUCCAUGCAGCGUUUUGAUGGUCAUGUAUGAUACUGCAUACAACA